GGUAGAUAUCUCAAUGUCUAAAAGGGAAUGGGAUGACCUCCUAGCAACUUUGACAUAAAUUCUAGAAGGCUGACCAACAGCAUCUAUGCCAAGGAAAGGAAGCUGGGACCAGGCGAAGCAAUAAAGCAGGUCAUGAGUUAAAUUUUCACCACACUGAAACAAUUACACAGCCUGUGGCAUCUUCCUCAGGAUGGAAGGGAAGAUGAGAGGAGACAUACUGCUCUAGCCUCUUAUUUAUCACAGGUCAUAUAUUGUGAAAACACUUCACUGGCAUCCACGAACUCUUUACUAAACACAUCUUUCCAGGCCUUCACAUGUCAGAGUAUUAAACAAACAAGCAUGGACAGCGUGAUAAGGAGAGUUUAACUGUUUAGCUAAGCACACCUCUGCCAUCUUUCCUCACGUCUACAGCCUGCAACAGUCCAUACACCACAGAAAUGGCUAGAUGGCCACCUGAUCAAAUUCUCAAUAGCUCCGCUGAGGUAGACAGGAGGUAGACUUAAAUAGCUCAGGACCACGAGUUACUAAUAACCAUGGUUUCGGAUAGGCUAGCUUAGGAAAAGGCCGCAAAAAGAAAGCUCUCUGAGCCUGUGUGCUUUAGCAAUGCUAAUAUUCCUUCUGACUAUCGUAUAUAUGAUACACUUAAAAUUGAACAGUCCUCAGCUUCUAUGGCUCCUGCUUAGCCAACUGCCAGGAAGAGUUACUAGUCCAGACAGUUACACAUCCGCUUGUGAAGCAAAGAUCGUAGGUUUUAGUGUAUCCAGUCUCUCAUCACUCCUAAAGGGAAACCCUGUCCCACUGGUGCUCAGUCCCCAUCCCUUGUUCUCUAAUUUGCGGUCAAAUUUCUCUCUUGCCAGUGAUAGCUAUUAUUGGAAGUUCUUACGUAACAGCACUUCUGCUAAGUUCAGAAAAGAGAACACUUGAAAUUACCUAAUAAUCUAGCAGCUAGAUCAUCGGUCCUGACAACCCACAAAGACAUGAAUGCUUGGGAAAAGGACAAAUACAAAGUGCUGAAGGUCUCAACGGCAGGCACAGGUCUGAAGUCCUCCCCUCACCGCCAAGUCUACAGCAGCCUAAACUAAAGUAAGCUCUGACGAUGCUGCUCUGCGCUGACCCCUGGAAAACCACCUCGGUGCUAGCGUUCUGAGUCACCUCGGGAUAAACACUUUGGCCAAAAGCAACUCAGAAAAGUGGGUUUAUGAGGCCUACACUUCCAAGUCAUAAUUCAAGAGGGGAGCAGAACCCACGGAGAAGGCUGUGCUUGCUGGCACGUUCACCUCUGGCUAUCAUACAGCCCAAGACCACCUGCCCAAGACGGAUGGUUCUGUAACCCACCAUGAGCCUGGCCCUCCCACAGAGGCCACAGACCAGUCUCACCUGGACAGUUCUCAACUGAGACUCCCUAAGACUCCAGGCUGUGCUAAACGUCAGCUGAAGCUGAGCUGGGACAAACUUUUACUGAAGGAAAAACUGGACUGGCUGGGUGGUGCACACCUUUAAUUCCAGCACUUAGAAGACAAAGGCAGGAAGAACUCUGAGUUCUGGGCAAAACUGGAUAGCUGGAUUGUAGCCACUUGGACCACAGCAAGUAGAACACACCAGUCUUCUGUGCACAGAGCAGCUGUCAUAGUUUGUAAACUUCACUGAACAAAGCACAGAUGAAAUUAAUUAAAUGAAAAAUGUUCUAAGCAUAUUUCUCUUUAUUCUCAGACAUUGCUGUUUAGAAAUAAAAUGAAAAUCACUAUUUUUUCUUUUGUUUUUGAGGCAGGGUUUCAUUAUGUAGCCCUGGCUGGCCUGGGAAAUACAGAGAUCCACUUGCUUCUGCCUACCAGUGCUAGGAUUAAAGGCCUAGGCUAGUAUGUCUGGCAGAAAACACUACUGUGUUAGUUGGCAACUGAUUUUUUUAAUUGCCAGAAGGUUAAGACAUAGACUUGAAAGGCAGAGUUCCAUUCAUAACAAAUUAUAACUUUUGGGUUAUUUCUAAAAUCUGAUUCUAAAUGAAGUAGAAAUAAUUCGUGAAGCAGAAAUUUAUCAAAAAAUAUACAGUGGGAAAUCUAUUCCCUAAGACUGGUUUUAUGAUUUUAGUUACUGGAAAGAUUUAGAUAAAAAAACCAUGUUAACCUAAUGAUGUAAUUACUUUACUCAUAAAAAUCAAACCCCAGAUAUUAAUAUUGCACAGCCACAGGAGGGAAGGUUUUCCAAGUCUCCUAGAAUUAGUUCUCUGACAUGGUUGACUGCUCCAUGGUAGCCAUUUCUAACUUUGUAUUUUUGGGUGUGGGAAGAUGCUCUGGUGACCAUGAUGGGAGCAGGAUUGGAGACAGGGUCGCUGCUGUUCCAAUCAGGGUGCUGGAAGGUGACAAUUCCUAUGUGGAGUUCAAAGAGUAAAGACAGAACAUAUGCAGAUGCUGCAAAUUCAUAGAGGCUAGGGGAUAAAUAUCAAUGUUCUAGAAGCAAAUUUACAGACUAAUUCUAAUGCUCAUAUCAUGAAUGAGGAAGCCAUAAAAUGUUGAUGUGACUUUCCUUCUCGAUCACUGUGUGUUCAUAGCAACAAAAAGUAACACACUAGGAUUGUGUGGGUCCACAUCUAUCCCCAUCCACACACCCAAUUUCACCAGACAGUGUUGAGACAAGCCCUUAUCAUAAAGCCACUGCUAGACAGACUACCCAUACUUCACUCUGUCCCAAAUGCCACUGGAUUUAAAAGAAAGCCUAUAAACUCCUGCUCACACUGUACUGAAGCACGCUCGACAUUUAAACUGUACAAUGUAGUGUUAUGAUAUCCACUUAUACUGUGAAAUGGUUAUUAUACAAUAUUCAGAGUUCAAAUUUUGAGUUUUCUUACUUAAAUAAUAAUCCUGAACAGAGAUCACAUGCUGCAACCAGCUUUGUCUUUCCUGAUUUAGCUGGUGCAUUUCCAUUGCUUGUAAAUUCAUUUCCUACAAAUUCAUUUUUUAAAGGUGUGUCAGUGGUGAUUUCUAAAUUCUGCAACUUUGUGUUUAUAUUAUCACAACAUUCUUGUGUAAUUAUUCUCACAAAAAUAUAUUCAAGUCUGUAAAUUUUAUUCCACUGUCUAUUGUAUUGUGAGGGUUGAUAUUUAGAAUGCACAAACUCAUGCUGCCCAGAAAACAAAACACAAAAAGCUGUUAUUAGUGACUUAGAAUUAUCAAUGUUCCGUUUUGUUUACUAUUACU
Alexandromys fortis (reed vole) is the source of this 3191-nucleotide long non-coding RNA. RefSeq lists it as uncharacterized. The transcript is spliced from 3 exons. Lineage: Eukaryota; Metazoa; Chordata; Mammalia; Rodentia; Cricetidae. The record is from RefSeq and is a predicted model, not a curated record.